This 1249-nucleotide long non-coding RNA is filed under the name Betta splendens (Siamese fighting fish). Its description in RNAcentral is "lncRNA (ENSBSLG00000018792.1)". The record is from RNAcentral. Lineage: Eukaryota; Metazoa; Chordata; Actinopteri; Anabantiformes; Osphronemidae.
GUCUGAGGCAGAUGGCUUGGAGUCCUUCACUUCAUCAUUUAAAGUCAGAAUAGAAUAUUACAGGUCAGUUGAAUACUGUCUAAAGUGGGAAGGACCCAUGCAUCUCAGGCACUCCUCCAAAUUAGCAAAGGGCUCCAACAAGAGCCCCAGAAAAAAAAACAGCCCAGAUGAAGAUGGUAUCAAGCACAAGGUGGUGGAGAAGAAACCAAGGACAGGAAUGAGGAGGACUAAAUCUAGCAACGGUGUAGUUCAUGCAAAAGAAAGACACCUCAUCAGCAGCCCACAUGAAACUGAUGGUGUGGUCGAGGAAGAGAUCCUUGAUCAGGGACUGGAUGAGUGGGAUGAUGACUGUGCUUCUGUCUCUAGCAGCAUAAGUUCUGGUCCCUCCCUCUAUUAUCCUGCUAGGCUCUCACAGGACCUGUGCUCUGCAUGUCAGAAGCUCUAUCAGAAGGCAAGGAGAAUGAAAGCUCCACUUAAAAACAAACUCUUGGAUAAUGAUCCCAAAUCAUUGACAUGUGACCAGUGGGUCCUGAUCAAAAACAGAAGGCUGGCAAGGAUGUCUGAUGCAGGCGGGAAGCUUUUGAUCUCCCUCCAGCGGGUCAAAAAAAGACUUCGAGGCAAAAAAGUGAAGCAACAUGAGCAGCCACCAGCCUGCUCAAGACCACAUAUUUACCUGGAAAGGAACCUGAGGCGACGUGUGCCCUUGAAAAAGGAGAGGAAGACAAACAAAAGGAGGAAGAGGACAAGAGAUGAUUCUCAAGGUUCCCGUGUUGCUAAGCAGCAGCGUCUCCAAAGCAACGUCCGCGGCCAACACAUCAGCUCAGUCAAUGACAGUUGUUAUUCAGCCAGCACACAAAACGACAUGAAUGAGUUGGAGGACUACAGUGAUCAAGAUACCAGCUCAGCAGGACCCUCCUCUGUCAUCAACCCCACCACCACAGAGCUCCCAUCAAAGCAGACAAAGUCACAAACAUUUCAGAGGGGAUUCAGAGAGUUGCUUCUCCAACUGCGUGGCAACAGCAGCAAUAUAGUCAGAGAACCACAUUAGAGAAAAGACUAGCUUCUUUUUUUGUUCUAGCUCUAGGAGUAAGUAUUGAGUUCUCAUUAUAUUUACUCAACAAGAAUUUAAGUGUUUUCACAUUAUUGUGCUGUUAUGAAAUGAAGUUAUUCAGGGUUUGGGUGUUGUUGUUUUGUUUUAUUCUUCUUAAUUAAAGGCACUUUUAAGCAUACUGUUUCAAAUUGUUUGCUU